This 73-nucleotide transfer RNA is filed under the name Anaerolineales bacterium. RNAcentral's name for it is "tRNA-Arg". It matches the Rfam family "tRNA". Rfam says of the family: Transfer RNA (tRNA) molecules are approximately 80 nucleotides in length. Their secondary structure includes four short double-helical elements and three loops (D, anti-codon, and T loops). Lineage: Bacteria; Bacillati; Chloroflexota; Anaerolineae; Anaerolineales. RNAcentral also lists the same sequence under 1 other name. The record is from RNAcentral.
GCCCCAGUAGCUCAACGGAUAGAGCGGCAGACUUCUAAUCUGUAGGUUGGGGGUUCGAUUCCCUCCUGGGGUG